UACGUAGGGGGGCGAGCGUUGUCCGGAAUUAUUGGGCGUAAAGGGUUCGCAGGCGGUAAUGUAAGUCUGAUGUGAAAUCCUGGGGCUAAACCCCAGUAAGCAUCAGAAACUGCAUAACUUGAGUCAAGGAGAGGUAAGUGGAAUUCCUAGUGUAGCGGUGAGAUGCGUAGAUAUUAGGAGGAAUACCAGUGGCGAAGGCGACUUACUGGACUUGAACUGACGCUGAGGAACGAAAGCGUGGGUAGCAAACAGG
Molecule: ribosomal RNA, 253 nt
Filed under: uncultured Eubacteriales bacterium
Lineage: Bacteria; Bacillati; Bacillota; Clostridia; Eubacteriales
Description: uncultured Clostridiales bacterium partial 16S ribosomal RNA
Rfam family: Bacterial small subunit ribosomal RNA
Source: RNAcentral